GACGUCGUGGAGGCCCGAACCCACUUAGGUUGAAAAACUGAGGGGAUGAGCUGUGGGUAGGGGUGAAAGGCCAAUCAAACUCCGUGAUAGCUGGUUCUCCCCGAAAUGCAUUUAGGUGCAGCGUCGCGUGUUUCACUCUGGAGGUAGAGCUACUGGAUGGCCGAUGGGCCCACAAGGUUACUGACGUCAGCCAAACUCCGAAUGCCAGAGUGUGAGAGCGCGGCAGUGAGACUGCGGGGGAUAAGCUUCGUAGUCGAGAGGGAAACAGCCCAGAUCGCCGGCUAAGGCCCCUAAGCGUGUACUAAGUGGAAAAGGAUGUGGGGUCGCGAAGACAACCAGGAGGUUGGCUUAGAAGCAGCCACCCUUGAAAGAGUGCGUAAUAGCUCACUGGUCAAGUGAUCCUGCGCCGACAAUGUAGCGGGGCUCAAGUACACCGCCGAAGCCGCGGCAUUCACAUAACACCCAUGCGGGUCUACGGGCCUGUGUGCAGUGGUGUGGAUGGGUAGGGGAGCGUCGUGCAGCCAUGGAAGCGCCGGAGUGAUCCAGGUGUGGAGGCUGCACGAGUGAGAAUGCAGGCAUGAGUAGCGAAAGACGAGUGAGAAACUCGUCCGCCGAAUGACCAAGGGUUCCUGGGCCAGGUUAAUCCGCCCAGGGUGAGUCGGGACCUAAGGCGAGGCCGACAGGCGUAGUCGAUGGACAACGGGUUGAUAUUCCCGUACCCGUGUGAACGCGCCCCUGGUGAAUCAGUGAUGCUAAGCGCCCUGAAGCCGCCUUCGAACCUUCGGGUUCUCCGGUGUGUGGAUGCGCGUGAACCGAUCUGGUAGUAGCCAAGCGAUGGGGUGACGCAGGAAGGUAGCUGAGCCAGUCAGUGGUAAUACUGGUGUAAGCGUGUAGGGCGUGACCUAGGCAAAUCCGGGUCACAUACAGCCUGAGACGUGAUGCGUAGCCGAUUGAGGCGAAUUCAGUGAUCCUAUGCUGCCGAGAAAAGCCUCUAGCGAGCUUUCACACGGCCCGUACCCCAAACCGACACAGGUGGUCAGGUAGAGAAUACUAAGGCGAUCGAGAUAACUGUGGUUAAGGAACUCGGCAAAAUGCCCCCGUAACUUCGGGAGAAGGGGGGCCUCGUCUGGUGACGGAACUUGCUUCCUGAGCUGGGUGGGGCCGCAGAGACCAGAGAGAAGCGACUGUUUACUAAAAACACAGGUCCGUGCGAAGUCGUAAGACGAUGUAUACGGACUGACGCCUGCCCGGUGCUGGAAGGUUAAGAGGACCGGUUAGCCAGUAAUGGCGAAGCUGAGAAUUUAAGCCCCAGUAAACGGCGGUGGUAACUAUAACCAUCCUAAGGUAGCGAAAUUCCUUGUCGGGUAAGUUCCGACCUGCACGAAUGGCGUAACGACUUCUCUGCUGUCUCAACCACAGACUCGGCGAAAUUGCAUUACGAGUAAAGAUGCUCGUUACGCGCGGCAGGACGAAAAGACCCCGGGACCUUCACUAUAGCUUGGUAUUGGUGUUCGGUUCGGUUUGUGUAGGAUAGGUGGGAGACUGUGAAGCGGGCACGCCAGUGUUCGUGGAGUCGUUGUUGAAAUACCACUCUGAUCGUAUUGGACAUCUAACCUCGGACCAUGAUCUGGUUCAGGGACAGUGCCUGGUGGGUAGUUUAACUGGGGCGGUUGCCUCCCAAAAUGUAACGGAGGCGCCCAAAGGUUCCCUCAGCCUGGUUGGCAAUCAGGUGUCGAGUGCAAGUGCACAAGGGAGCUUGACUGUGAGACUGACAGGUCGAGCAGGGACGAAAGUCGGGACUAGUGAUCCGGCACCGGCAAGUGGAAGCGGUGUCGCUCAACGGAUAAAAGGUACCCCGGGGAUAACAGGCUGAUCUUCCCCAAGAGUCCAUAUCGACGGGAUGGUUUGGCACCUCGAUGUCGGCUCGUCGCAUCCUGGGGCUGGAGUAGGUCCCAAGGGUUGGGCUGUUCGCCCAUUAAAGCGGCACGCGAGCUGGGUUUAGAACGUCGUGAGACAGUUCGGUCUCUAUCCGCCGCGCGCGUUAGAAACUUGAGGAAGGCUGUCCCUAGUACGAGAGGACCGGGACGGACGAACCUCUGGUGUGCCAGUUGUUCCGCCAGGAGCACUGCUGGUUAGCUACGUUCGGAAGGGAUAACCGCUGAAAGCAUCUAAGCGGGAAGCCUGUUCCAAGAUGAGGUUUCUCACCCCCUCGAGGGGGUAAGGCCCCCGGCAGACCACCGGGUUGAUAGGCCAGAACUGGAAGCACAGUAAUGUGUGGAGGUGACUGGUACUAAUAGGCCGAGGACUUACCACAA
Molecule: ribosomal RNA, 2315 nt
Filed under: Rhodococcus (subgen. Prescottella) equi
Lineage: Bacteria; Bacillati; Actinomycetota; Actinomycetes; Mycobacteriales; Nocardiaceae
Description: Rhodococcus hoagii partial 23S ribosomal RNA
Rfam family: Bacterial large subunit ribosomal RNA
Source: RNAcentral